CCCGAAGUCGGUGGGGUAACCUUUUUGGAGCCAGCCGCCUAAGGUGGGACAGAUGAUUGGGGUGAAGUCGUAACAAGGUAGCCGUAUCGGAAGGUGCGGCUGGAUCACCUCCUUU
Molecule: ribosomal RNA, 115 nt
Filed under: Staphylococcus epidermidis
Lineage: Bacteria; Bacillati; Bacillota; Bacilli; Caryophanales; Staphylococcaceae
Description: partial 16S ribosomal RNA
Rfam family: Bacterial small subunit ribosomal RNA
Source: RNAcentral